AGAGUGAACGCUGGCGGUAGGCCUAACACAUGCAAGUCGAACGGCAGCACAGUAGGAGCUUGCUCUUACGGGUGGCGAGUGGCGGACGGGUGAGGAAUACAUCGGAAUCUACCCUUUGGUGGGGGAUAACGUAGGGAAACUUACGCUAAUACCGCAUACGCCCUUCGGGGGAAAGCCGGGGACCAGCAAUGGCCUGGCGCUGAUAGAUGAGCCGAUGUCGGAUUAGCUAGUUGGUGAGGUAAUGGCUCACCGAAGGCGACGAUCCGUAGCUGGUCUGAGAGGAUGAUCAGCCACACUGGAACUGAGACACGGUCCAGACCUCCUACGGGAGGCAGCAGUGGGGGAAAUAGUU
This 352-nucleotide ribosomal RNA is filed under the name uncultured soil bacterium. RNAcentral's name for it is "bacterial SSU rRNA". It matches the Rfam family "Bacterial small subunit ribosomal RNA", at positions 26 to 368 of the family's 1533-position model. The record is from RNAcentral.